Molecule: ribosomal RNA, 508 nt
Filed under: uncultured bacterium
Lineage: Bacteria
Description: partial 16S ribosomal RNA
Rfam family: Bacterial small subunit ribosomal RNA
Source: RNAcentral
AUUGAACGCUGGCGGCAUGCCUUACACAUGCAAGUCGAACGGCAGCGGGGGAGAAGCUUGCUUUUCCUGCCGGCGAGUGGCGAACGGGUGAGUAAUACAUCGGAACGUGCCCUGUAGUGGGGGAUAACUAGUCGAAAGAUUAGCUAAUACCGCAUACGACCUGAGGGAGAAAGUGGGGGACCGCAAGGCCUCAUGCUAUAGGAGCGGCCGAUGUCUGAUUAGCUAGUUGGUGGGGCAAAGGCCUACCAAGGCGACGAUCAGUAGCUGGUCUGAGAGGACGAUCAGCCACACUGGGACUGAGACACGGCCCAGACUCCUACGGGAGGCAGCAGUGGGGAAUUUUGGACAAUGGGCGAAAGCCUGAUCCAGCAAUGCCGCGUGUGUGAAGAAGGCCUUCGGGUUGUAAAGCACUUUUGUCCGGAAAGAAAUGGCUCUGGUUAAUACCUGGGGUCGAUGACGGUACCGGAAGAAUAAGGACCGGCUAACUACGUGCCAGCAGCCGCGGUAA